CAGUAGCCACGGUAAUACGUAUGUCACAAGCGUUACCCGGAUUUAUUGGGCGUAAAGCGCGUCUAGGUGGUUAUGCAAGUCUGAUGUGAAAAUGCAGGGCUCAACUCUGUAUUGCGUUGGAAACUGUGUAACUAGAGUACUGGAGAGGUAAGCGGAACUACAAGUGUAGAGGUGAAAUUCGUAGAUAUUUGUAGGAAUGCCGAUGGGGAAGCCAGCUUACUGGACAGAUACUGACGCUAAAGCGCGAAAGCGUGGGUAGCAAACAGGAUUAGAUACCCGCGUAGUCCCUGUCUCUUAUACA
Molecule: ribosomal RNA, 301 nt
Filed under: uncultured bacterium
Lineage: Bacteria
Description: partial 16S ribosomal RNA
Rfam family: Bacterial small subunit ribosomal RNA
Source: RNAcentral